GCCGAUGUAGCUCAAUUGGAUAGAGCAGACCCGUCCUAAGGGUAAGGUUGGGAGUUCGAAUCUCCCCAUCGGCA
This is a non-coding RNA of Candidatus Woykebacteria bacterium RBG_16_39_9b, 74 nucleotides long. The record is from Rfam. NCBI's taxonomy places the organism in Bacteria, Candidatus Woykeibacteriota.